RNAcentral lists this unclassified non-coding RNA (240 nucleotides) under soil metagenome. Its description in RNAcentral is "partial contains 5.8S ribosomal RNA, internal transcribed spacer 2, and large subunit ribosomal RNA". The record is from RNAcentral.
AACGGUCUAUACCUGCGGUACCUGCGGAGGGAUCAUUACCGAGUUAUCAGCUCCCAAACCCCUGUGAACAUACCCGAACGUUGCCUCGGCGGGACCGCCCCGGCGCCCCUAGCGGCCCGGAACCAGGCGCCCGCCGGAGGACCCAAACUCUUGCUUUAAACAGUGGCAUACUCUCUGAGUCUCACAAACAAAAAAUAAAUCAAAACUUUCAACAAUGGAUCUCUAGAUCGGAAGAGCACA